This 450-nucleotide ribosomal RNA is filed under the name uncultured bacterium. Its description in RNAcentral is "partial 16S ribosomal RNA". It matches the Rfam family "Bacterial small subunit ribosomal RNA", at positions 354 to 796 of the family's 1533-position model. The record is from RNAcentral.
GUGGGGAAUUUUGGACAAUGGGCGCAAGCCUGAUCCAGCAAUGCCGCGUGCAGGAAGAAGGCCUUCGGGUUGUAAACUGCUUUUGUCAGGGAAGAAAUCUUCUGGGCUAAUACCCCGGGAGGAUGACGGUACCUGAAGAAUAAGCACCGGCUAACUACGUGCCAGCAGCCGCGGUAAUACGUAGGGUGCGAGCGUUAAUCGGAAUUACUGGGCGUAAAGCGUGCGCAGGCGGUUAUGUAAGACAGAUGUGAAAUCCCCGGGCUCAACCUGGGAACUGCAUUUGUGACUGCAUGACUGGAGUGCGGCAGAGGGGGAUGGAAUUCCGCGUGUAGCAGUGAAAUGCGUAGAUAUGCGGAGGAACACCGAUGGCGAAGGCAAUCCCCUGGGCCUGCACUGACGCUCAUGCACGAAAGCGUGGGGAGCAAACAGGAUUAGAUACCCUGGUAGUCC